RNAcentral lists this ribosomal RNA (392 nucleotides) under uncultured bacterium. RNAcentral describes it as "bacterial SSU rRNA". It matches the Rfam family "Bacterial small subunit ribosomal RNA", at positions 30 to 418 of the family's 1533-position model. The record is from RNAcentral.
AUUGAACGCUGGCGGCAUGCCUUACACAUGCAAGUCGAACGGCAGCACGGGAGCAAUCCUGGUGGCGAGUGGCGAACGGGUGAGUAAUAUAUCGGAACGUGCCCAGUCGUGGGGGAUAACGUAGCGAAAGCUACGCUAAUACCGCAUACGAUCUAUGGAUGAAAGCGGGGGAUCGCAAGACCUCGCGCGAUUGGAGCGGCCGAUAUCAGAUUAGGUAGUUGGUGAGGUAAAGGCUCACCAAGCCGACGAUCUGUAGCUGGUCUGAGAGGACGACCAGCCGCACUGGGACUGAGACACGGCCCAGACUCCUACGGGAGGCAGCAGUGGGGAAUUUUUGGGACAAUGGGCGGCCAAGCCUGAUCCAGCAAUGCCGCGUGCAGGAUGAAGGCCUC